This 1476-nucleotide ribosomal RNA is filed under the name uncultured Bordetella sp. Its description in RNAcentral is "partial 16S-23S ribosomal RNA intergenic spacer". It matches the Rfam family "Bacterial small subunit ribosomal RNA". Lineage: Bacteria; Pseudomonadati; Pseudomonadota; Betaproteobacteria; Burkholderiales; Alcaligenaceae. The record is from RNAcentral.
AGUUUGAUUCUGGCUCGGAUUGAACGCUGGCGGGAUGCUUUACACAUGCAAGUCGAACGGCAGCACGGACUUCGGUCUGGUGGCGAGUGGCGAACGGGUGAGUAAUGUAUCGGAACGUGCCUAGUAGCGGGGAUAACUACGCGAAAGCGUAGCUAAUACCGCAUACGCCCUUCGGGGAAAGCGGGGGGACCUUCGGGCCUCGCACUAUUAGAGCGGCCGAUAUCGGAUUAGCUAGUUGGUAACGGCUCAACCAAGGCGACGAUCCGUAGCUGGUUUGAGAGGACGACCAGCCACACUGACUGGAGGAUGGCCCAGACUCCUACGGGAGGCAGCAGGGGGAAUUUUGACAAUGGGAAACCCCGAUCCAGGCCAUCCCGCGUGUGCGAUGAAGGCCUUCGGGUUGUAAAGCACUUUUGGCAGGAAAGAAACGGCACGGGAUAAUACCCCGUGCAACUGACGGUACCUGCAGAAUAAGCACCGGCUAACUACGCCAGCAGCCGCGGUAAUGUAGGGUGCAAGCGUUAAUCGGAAUUACUGGGCGUAAAGCGUGCGCAGGCGGUUCGGAAAGAAAGAUGUGAAAUCCCAGAGCUUAACUUUGGAACUGCAUUUUUAACUACCGAGCUAGAGUGUCAGAGGGAGGUGGAAUUCCGCGUGUAGCAGUGAAAUGCGUAGAUAUGCGGAGGAACACCGAUGGCGAAGGCAGCCUCCUGGGAUAACACUGACGUGCUCAUGCACGAAAGCGUGGGGAGCAAAACAGGAUUAGAUACCCUGGUAGUCCACGCCCUAAACGGUGUCAACUAGCUGUUGGGGCCUUCGGGCCUUGGUAGCGCAGCUAACGCGAGAAGUUGACCGCCUGGGGAGUACGGUCGCAAGAUUAAAACUCAAAGGAAUUGAUUUGGACCCGCACAAGCGGUGGAUGAUGUGGAUUAAUUCGAUGCAAACGCGAAAAACCUUACCUACCCUUGACAUGUCUGGAAUCCCGAAGAGAUUUGGGAGUGCUCGCAAGAGAACCGGAACACAGGUGCUGCAUGGCUGUCGUCAGCUCGUGUCGUGAGAUGUUGGGUUAAGUCCCGCAACGAGCGCAACCUUGUCAUUAGUUGCUACGAAAGGGCACUCUAAUGAGACUGCCGGUGACAAACCGGAGGAAGGUGGGGAUGACGUCAAGUCCUCAUGGCCCUUAAGUGGUAGGGCUUCACACGUCAUACAAUGGUCGGGACAGAGGGUCGCCAACCCGCGAGGGAGCCAAUCCCAGAAACCCGAUCGUAGUCCGGAUCGCAGUCUGCAACUCGACUGCGUGAAGUCGGAAUCGCUAGUAAUCGCGGAUCAGUACAAUGCGGUGAAUACGUUCCCGGGUCUUGUACACACCGCCCGUCACACCAUGGGAGUGGGUUUUACCAGAAGUAGUUAGCCUAACCGCAAGGAGGGCGAUUACCACGGUAGGAUUCAUGACUGGGGUGAAGUCGUAACAAGCGGUAG